AUUUGUGGUCAAGCUACUAAGGGCUUAUGGUGGAUGGCUAGGCGGAAGGAGGCGAUGAAGGACGUGGUAAGCUGCGAUAAGCUCCGGGGAGUCGCAAACAGGCGUUGAUCCGGAGAUCUCCGAAUGGGGAAACCCAUCCCAGGUUAUGCGGGGAUAUCUCUUGCUGAACCCAUAGGCAAGAGAGGCUAACCAGGGGAAGUGAACCAUCUCAGUACCCUGAGGAAAAGAAACCGAAUGGGAUUCCCCCAGUAGCGGCGAGCGAAAAGGGAACAGCCUAAACCCUGAUAAUGUAAAAGGCUAUGCCCGUUGUUAUCAGGGGGUUGCGGGAUUUAUCCGGAAGAAGGCAUAGCUUCUUCGGGAAGUUACCAAUCCUAUCUUUAGUCGAAUACCUUGGAAAAGGUAGCCAAAGAAGGUGAAAGCCCUGUAGACGAAAAAGAUAGGACUUCCUGGGAUAAAUCCCGAGUACUACGGGACACGGGAAACCCCGUAGGAAGCGGGCCUGACCACAGGCCAAGGCUAAAUACUCCCUUCCGACCGAUAGUGGACUAGUACCGUGAGGGAAAGCUGAAAAGUACCCCGGUGAGGGGAGUGAAAUAGUACCUGAAACCAUAAGCUUACAAGCGGUCGGAGCCUCGACGGCAACGUCGGGGUGACGGCGUACCUUUUGCAUAAUGAGCCGGGGAGUUACUCCUGUACAGCGAGCUUAACCUCGCUAAGCGAGGGUAGGCGUAGGGAAACCGAGUCCUAACUGGGCGCUAAGUUGUACAGGGUAGACCCGAAGCUGGGGUGAUCUACCCAUGGCCAGGGCGAACCUCGAGUAACAUCGAGGGGAGGUCCGAACCCGUCACUGUUGAAAAAGUGUGGGAUGAGCUGUGGGUAGGAGUGAAAGGCUAAACAAACCCAGGGAUAGCUGGUUCUCCCCGAAAUAACUUUAGGGUUAGCCUCGAGAUUGGAAAGUGGGGGUAGAGUACUCGAUGGGCUAGGGACCUCACCAGGUUGCCAAACCCAACGAAACUCCGAAUACCACUUUUCCGUAUCUCGGGAGUCAGUCUACGGGCGAUAAGGUCCGUGGUCGAGAGGGGAACAACCCAGACCACCAGCUAAGGUCCCUAAAUGCAGGCUAAGUGGAAAAGGAUGUGAAAUCGCGUAGACAACCGGGAUGUUGGCUUAGAGGCAGCCAUCAUUUAAAGAGUGCGUAACAGCUCACCGGUCGAUUACCCCACACCCAGCUUGCUGGGUGUGGGGUGCGAUUUCGCGCCGACAAUAAUCGGGGCUAAGCCUGCUACCGAAGCUGUGGACUACCACAUCUGUGGUAGUGGUAGGGGAGCAUUCCACCGCGGUGAAGUUCUGACGUAAGUCAGGAUGGAGCGAGUGGAAGAGAGAAUCCCGGUAUAAGUAGCGAAAAAACCCGCGAGAAACGGGUUCGCCGAAAGUCUAAGGUUUCCUGGGGAAGGUUAAUCCGCCCAGGGUUAGUCGAGCCUAAGCUGAGGCCGAAGGGCGUAAGCGAUGGACAGCCGGUUAAUAUUCCGGCACCACUUCUUUGGUAUCCGCGCAAGCGGUAAACCUAAGGGUGACGCAGGAAGCUAAGCCAGCUCCGUGCAGACUUACGGAGUCCAAACCUGUAGUCCUGCUGAAAAACGGGAUGAGGGGUGUAAGGGAGCUCGAUCUACGGAGAGAGCGAACUGGCUGAGGCUAUACUGCCGAGAAAGAACCCUGAUGGUGACACCAAAGAGGUGCUCGUACCGCAAUCCGACACAGGUAGACUGCCAGAAUAUGGUAAGGCGCUCGAGAGAACCCUCGUCAAGGAACUCGGCAAAAUGGCCCCGUAACUUCGGAAGAAGGGGUGUCUCGCUGCUUGUAGUCUCUUGCAGACGAAGGGCAGUGGGAUCGCAGUUAAGAGGCCCAUGUGACUGUUUAGUAAAAACACAGGUCUCUGCAAAGUCGUAGAUUCAAGACGACGUAUAGGGACUGACACCUGCCCAAUGCCGGAAGGUUAAGGGGAGAGAUUACUCUCCGGUGUUUCAUCGGAGGGGAAGUCUCAAACCGAAGCCCCGGUGAAUGGCGGCCGUAACUAUAACGGUACGACCAGGAAGCAGUCCUGGAAGGGCCGUUGUAAAAUCUGGCUAUAUGCUGGGACGUCUGAGAAUCCGGCAUUACCGAGGAGGUGAAAAAAUGUCCGGUGCAGACAAUCAGCAGGAAAGACUGCCUCAAGACGAAAGGUUCCAGUGGUUCCUGGCGGGGAUAAUUGAGGGUGAGGGAAGCGUAACAGUUUCCAUUAAGGCUCAUCCGUCGGCAAAGUUUGGUUAUUAUGUAGAUCCGGAAUUCUUCCUCUACCAAAAGGUAGAAGGAAGGAAGAUUUUGGAGAUGGCAAAAAAGUUUUUUGGAACAGGCCGGAUCUAUCCCAAACCAGGAAAUGAAGAGGUUUUGGUUUUUGCUAUCACUAACCGACGGAGCCUUAAGGAAAAAGUUCUUCCCUUUUUAAAGAAAUAUAUGGUUUAUUCUCCCCGCAUAGAAAAAUAUAAGAUCUUCACGGAGAUAGUCGAAGAUAUGGAAAAUCGGAAACACUGGACGCCUCAGGGGCUGGCGCGCAUUGUCGAGAAGGCAUAUGCGCUGAAUCCAGACUCCAAAGGGAAGGAAAGAAAGAGAGAGUUGGAAGAAGUCUUGGGCAGAAUCCUCAGAGACCAUACGCCAGAUGCAUUCCGAGAAUAAAGAGGAAUGCAAAGAUAUGGUCCAGUCUUUAUGGCGACAUAAAGGAAACUGCCUAAGGUAGCGAAAUUCCUAGUCGGGUAAGUUCCGACCCGCACGAAUGGUGUAACAACAUGGGCGCUGUCUCGACGGGGGGCUCGGCGAAAUUGUAGUAGCGGUGAAGAUGCCGCUUACCCGCAGGUAGACGAAAAGACCCCGGAACCUUUACUGUACCCUGGUAUGGGAUUUUGGUCCGAUAUGUGUAGGAUAGGUGGGAGGCUGUGAAGUCCCGACGCUAGUUGGGAUGGAGCCGACGGUGAAAUACCACUCUUAUCGUACUAAAGUCCUAACCCCGACCUCUGAAGCGAGGCGGGGGACAGUGCCAGGCGGGCAGUUUAACUGGGGCGGUUUCCUCCUAAAGAGUAACGGAGGAGUCCAAAGGUUCCCUCAGUGCGGUCGGCAAUCGCACGUUGAGUGCAAAGGCAUAAGGGAGCUUGACUGCGAGUCCGACAGGACGAGCAGGGGAGAAAUCCGGGCUUAGUGAUCCGGCGGUGCUGUGUGGGAAGGCCGUCGCUCAACGGAUAAAAGGUACUCCGGGGAUAACAGGCUUAUCGGUCCCGAGAGUUCACAUCGACGGACCGGUUUGGCACCUCGAUGUCGGCUCAUCGCAUCCUGGGGCUGGAGAAGGUCCCAAGGGUCCGGCUGUUCGCCGGUUAAAGCGAUACGUGAGCUGGGUUUAGAACGUCGUGAGACAGUUCGGUCUCUAUCUCCUGUGGGCGUAGGAUACCUGAGGGGGGUUCUCCCUAGUACGAGAGGACCGGGAGGAACGAACCUCUGGUGUACCAGCUGUUCCGUCCGGAGCAUAAGCUGGGUAGCUAUGUUCGGUUGGGAUAACCGCUGAAAGCAUCUAAGCGGGAAGCCCGCCCCAAGACUAGGUAUCCCUGAAGGCAUCCCGGAGACUACGGGUUCGAUAGGUCCCAAGUGUAAGCGCCGUAAGGCGUUGAGCUUAGGGAUACUAAGGAAGCCGUUUGGCUUGACCAC
Molecule: ribosomal RNA, 3726 nt
Filed under: Candidatus Omnitrophota bacterium
Lineage: Bacteria; Pseudomonadati; Candidatus Omnitrophota
Description: Candidatus Omnitrophica bacterium (hot springs metagenome) 23S ribosomal RNA
Rfam family: Bacterial large subunit ribosomal RNA
Source: RNAcentral